UUCCAGACUCCUACGGGAGGCAGCAGUGAGGAAUAUUGGUCAAUGGGCGGGAGCCUGAACCAGCCAAGUCGCGUGAGGGAAGACGGUCCUAUGGAUUGUAAACCUCUUUAGGCGGGGAGCAAUGCCGGGCACGCGUGUCCGGAGGGAGAGUACCCGCAGAAUAAGCAUCGGCUAACUCCGUGCCAGCAGCCGCGGUAAUACGGAGGAUGCGAGCGUUAUCCGGAUUUAUUGGGUUUAAAGGGUGCGUAGGCGGUUUUUUAAGUUAGUGGUUAAACGUCGGGGCUUCACCUUGAUUUGCCAUUAAUACUGUAAGACUUGAGUUCAGACGAGGUAGGCGGAAUAAGUUAAGUAGCGGUGAAAUGCUUAGAUAUAACUUAGAACUCCGAUAGCGAAGGCAGCUUACCAGACUGCGACUGACGCUGAAGCACGAGAGCGUGGGUAGCGAACAGGAUUAGAUACCCGAGUACG
Molecule: ribosomal RNA, 468 nt
Filed under: uncultured bacterium
Lineage: Bacteria
Description: bacterial SSU rRNA
Rfam family: Bacterial small subunit ribosomal RNA
Source: RNAcentral